UAUUAAAAAUUCAUCUAUUUUUACUUUUAAAGAUUAGUAUGUUUGACGAAAUAAUCAGGCAGUGACAUGUGGUGCAUUACAUGUACAUUAUGUUCAUGUAUAAGAACCAAUUUUUAACAGUAAAAAUAGAUCAAAUUUUUAACU
This is a non-coding RNA of Gossypium raimondii (Peruvian cotton), 144 nucleotides long. NCBI's taxonomy places the organism in Eukaryota, Viridiplantae, Streptophyta, Magnoliopsida, Malvales, Malvaceae. The record is from Rfam.